Molecule: ribosomal RNA, 446 nt
Filed under: Sarophorus costatus
Lineage: Eukaryota; Metazoa; Arthropoda; Insecta; Coleoptera; Scarabaeidae
Description: partial 16S ribosomal RNA
Rfam family: Bacterial large subunit ribosomal RNA
Source: RNAcentral
CAUGUCUUUUUGAUUAUAAUUUAAAGUCUGACCUGCCCAAUGAAUUUAAUUUGAAUGGCCGCGGUACUUUGACCGUGCAAAGGUAGCAUAAUAAUUAGUUUUUUAAUUGAGAACUGGUAUGAAAGGUUGGACGAGAAAAAUACUGUCUCAAUUUAAUUUAAAUUAGAAUUUUAUUUUUAAGUUAAAAAGCUUAAAUAAUUUUAAAAGACGAGAAGACCCUAUAGAGUUUUACAUUAUAUUUAAUAUUGAAUUUGAAGUAUAAUAAAGUUAGAUGAUAAAAUAUAGUGUUUUGUUGGGGUGACAGAAAAAUUGAAAGAACUUUUUUUUUAUUAAACCAUUAAUUUAUGAUUUGAUGAUCCAUAUUUUAUGAUUAUAAGAUUAAAUUACCUUAGGGAUAACAGCGUAAUUCUUUUCGAGAGUUCACAUCGAAAAAAGAGUUUGCGACC